AGCGAACGCUGGCGGCAGGCCUAACACAUGCAAGUCGAACGAACCUUUCGGGGUUAGUGGCGGACGGGUGAGUAACACGUGGGAACGUGCCUUUAGGUUCGGAAUAACCCAGGGAAACUUGUGCUAAUACCGAAUGUGCCCUUCGGGGGAAAGAUUAAUCGCCUUUAGAGCGGCCCGCGUCUGAUUAGCUAGUUGGUUGAGGUAAUGGCUCACCAAGGCGACGAUCAGUAGCUGGUCUGAGAGGAUGAUCAGCCACAUUGGGACUGAGACACGGCCCAAACUCCUACGGGAGGCAGCAGUGGGGAAUCUUGCGCAAUGGGCGAAAGCCUGACGCAGCCAUGCCGCGUGAAUGAUGAAGGUCUUAGGAUUGUAAAAUUCUUUCACCGGGGACGAUAAUGACGGUACCCGGAGAAGAAGCCCCGGCUAACUUCGUG
Molecule: ribosomal RNA, 434 nt
Filed under: uncultured bacterium
Lineage: Bacteria
Description: partial 16S ribosomal RNA
Rfam family: Bacterial small subunit ribosomal RNA
Source: RNAcentral